RNAcentral lists this ribosomal RNA (371 nucleotides) under uncultured bacterium. Its description in RNAcentral is "bacterial SSU rRNA". It matches the Rfam family "Bacterial small subunit ribosomal RNA", at positions 525 to 896 of the family's 1533-position model. The record is from RNAcentral.
ACGUAGGGUGCAAGCGUUAAUCGGAAUUACUGGGCGUAAAGCGUGCGCAGGCGGUUAUAUAAGUCAGAUGUGAAAUCCCUGGGCUCAACCUAGGAACUGCAUUUGAGACUGUAUAGCUAGAGUGUGUCAGAGGGGGAUGGAAUUCCGCGUGUAGCAGUGAAAUGCGUAGAUAUGCGGAGGAACACCGAUGGCGAAGGCAAUCCCCUGGGCCUGCACUGACGCUCAUGCACGAAAGCGUGGGGAGCAAACAGGAUUAGAUACCCUGGUAGUCCACGCCCUAAACGAUGUCAACUGGUUGUUGGGUCUCUUCUGACUCAGUAACGAAGCUAACGCGUGAAGUUGACCGCCUGGGGAGUACGGCCGCAAGGUUG